This 28-nucleotide non-coding RNA is filed under the name Homo sapiens (human). Lineage: Eukaryota; Metazoa; Chordata; Mammalia; Primates; Hominidae. The record is from RNAcentral.
UAAGUUGGUCUGGUGUCUGGAAUGAGAC